RNAcentral lists this long non-coding RNA (9264 nucleotides) under Zea mays. Its description in RNAcentral is "long non-coding RNA (ZMAY_LNC004228)". The record is from RNAcentral. Lineage: Eukaryota; Viridiplantae; Streptophyta; Magnoliopsida; Poales; Poaceae.
CCCACUUCUCUUCCCCCUUGGCCGCCGCCCCCUUGCCCAUCUCCUCCUCUCUCAAUUCUUGCAGCCACCAAACCCUAGUCGCCCCCCCUCUCAAUUCCCUCCUCCCAAGGUGCCAAUCCUUGCCGCUCGGAUCAUCGUCGUCGUGGUGCGAGUCUUCAAUCGUUUUGGUGGAGGGAAGAAGGGAGGAAGGAAAGGGGGAGAAUCCAAGGUGAUUUUUGUGUUCAUCCCUUGUUCAUUUGCCAUGCAAUUUAAUUGAUUAGAGGUUGCGUUUGCGAUUGGGGUAGAGGGGGGCUGUCCAGAAUUUUAGGUGGUGGGUGAACAGCAGUAGUCUAGCAGUUUCUGUGUUUUUUUUCGUGAGGAAUUAAGGAAAAUCAGUUUGGGGAUCAUGUAGAACUUUACCUUACCUUUCCAACGAGUAUUUAUGCGCUCAAUUUGGAGUUAUAAAUUGAAAGUUAUCACCGUUUGAAUCCGGGUAUGUGGCUGUCCAAAAAAACAGAUUUUUCAGGGGGAUGAACAGCAGCAGUAUUAGCAGUUUCUGGGGAUUUUUCGGGAGUAAUUAGUGUUAAUCAGUAUGAGAAUCAUGUAGGGCUUUAUGUUAUCUUUCCAACAAGUACUUAUGCGCUCGAUUCGGAGUUAUAAUUCAGGAGAUAUCGUUGUUUGAAUCCGGUUAUGUUGCUGUCCAAAAAAAACAGAUUUUUCAGGUGGGUGAACAGCAGUGGUAUUAGCAGUUUCUGGGAAUUUUUCAUAAGUAAUUAGUGUUAACCAGUAUGGUAAUCAUGUAGGGAUUUGUCUUAUCUUUCCAAUGAGUACUUAUGCGCUUGAUUUGGAAUUAUAUUUUAAAAGAUAUCGCUGUUUGAAUCUGGGUAUGUCGCUGUCCAAAAGACAAAGAAAAAAACAGAUUACAGAGUUCAUCUUUUGGACUGUUUUGGGCUAAUUAGAUAUUGGAAUUAAAUUAUAAAUUGUAUACAAAACUUGUGGGGAAUUUUAUGUAGAUGCCUCUGGAGUUUUUGUUUGUUACCACUGCUGUCAUAAUUUUAAAGUUAUGAAAUUAUUAAGCAGCGCCGCUGCAGUUUGGUGGGUGUAGGGAGAGAUGUAACCCGCGGCGGGGUUUGAGUUUGUGCGUAGGUGCGGCGUCGCUUAUGAGCCUGAUUAUGUGAAAUUGGUGUACUAAGUUGGGUGUCAAAAACAGGUGGUGGGCUUCCAGAUCGUACUUGGGAUUUGCCCGAACUUCCGAUAAAGGCAAGUAAAUACAGUGGUGGUUGCUACCGUUUGGUUUGCAUCCUAUUCCCUGUCAUUGAGUAUGCAUAAGUUUUAAUUAUGUUAAUCAUUGAAUUCUAUGAUGAAGUUUAUUUGUUGGGAAGUAUUAAUUCUCAAUUGUCUAAUAUUGUGGAUGAUCAUAAUUUGGUAAUGAUAUAUGUGGUUGAUUCCCAUCUGGAUGAAGUUGAAGUGUCUUUUUGAAUCAUGUUAUAUGAAGUGUUGUAGGCAUGACAUGCACAUCGCAUCAUCCAUCUUGCAUUUUGAAGUUAUGUCGUGAUCUUAUGGUCCGACCGUACCGGUACAUUUUUAGCAUCGUACGUUGCCCGAGGAGGGGUACGAUGCGGCUUCAUAUCCUUAGAGGUAUGAAGGCAGAAGUCAUCCUUGCAUUUGCAGACAUUUGCACUCAUGAGGAAUAUAUGAAGUGUGACAUUACUAUGUUACUAUUGUGGUUUCUACCUGCGAGGUGUGGUAACUAGGUGCGUUGUACAUUGUAUACGUGCUGCACCUUCGUAAUAAGAAGGUUGUGGAAUUAAGUGGUGGUAAAACAAUGUUCUUAUGUGGUUAAACUGUUUGAUAUUAUUUUACUUGCUGAGAUGUGUCAUCUCACUCUUGCAUUACUCAAUGCAGGUACUCGAUACAUGUUGGGAAUGAGGGGAGUAGCAGCACGUCCACUUUCACUCUCACAAUAACGCUGCCCAGGCGCAGCCAUGAUUUAAUUAGAAACUUAUUGUCAAAGGAAGUUUGUUUAUUUUUUUAUAUGGUCGUGCGCACUGGCUAAUUCAGUUCAGGUCGUAUGUUUAUCUUUCCUUGCUAGCCGAGUAAUAAUACUUAGUAUCUUUUAGUCAUGAUAUAUGUUUAUACUCUGUUGCUCCCUCUUUUAUGCAAUCUUGCAAAGGGGAUGCUGCCGAAAUUUUAUAUAUGGACGUCGGAAGUGUAGUACAGUAGCAUACCGGGUUGUUUGUGGAACCUGGAGUGUUACAGUUGGUAUCAGAGGAUAGGCUUUAGAUUCUACGCAAUUUGAAGAUAAAUUUGACACACUUGCACAUAUAGGAAGGGUAUGGGUUCAUAUUUCUUUCAUAUUAGUAUUUUAUUGUAUAGAUGACUAGAAUUUCCUUACUCCAAACCCCUUUAUGGUUUGAUGAGGUAUGUCGUUAACGACGUAAUGCUUGAUAUGAAAUGUUACUUCUAUUUAAUAUUGGUUUCUUGAUGUGGUUGUUAUUGAAAUUAUUAUGCGAGUGAAGCUACUAAUGUACUUGUUUUAUAUACAUAUCGUCAUGAUGUUUUUGGGAUGCAAUGUUUACUAAUCUCUGAGCUAUUACCAUCAUAUAUUUCUAUAUGCUUGACUGUGGAUAUUUUUUUUCCCAAAAGGAUUCUUGGGUUCUAGUACUUGUAGGACCGAUUGUUUAUUGAGCUUGUGUAUAGAGGAUCUAAUCCGACUUGGUGUAGUGUGAAAACACUAUACAAUGAAGUUUUAUGGUGUUGUUGAGUUGGAUUGACUGUUGGGUUACAACCCAACUUAUCAAUGUAAUAUUUCCAUGGGUGCAGUGCUUUACACCUCACCUUUUUUGGCUAGUGUGGCUGCUUGCCAACUUGAUCUUAGAGUACAAUAGGUUUGUCUCCAUAGAGCAAAGACAAUGUUGUACUGUCUAUGAAAUCUUGAGACUAGAAGAACUCAAGUGAAUUUGCAAGAUGACGUGGGUAGAUAAGUCCAACCAUGUUUACAUGAUAGGUUUUCUUAUUGUGUGCAACCUUAUCUUUAAUAAUAAAUAGGGUGAUUUCAAGUGGAUUUUAUGUCUAUAUUAUAGUUGAAGAGGCAUGCAUGUUUUCCUUCUAUGGUUUGUUUCUAUAGCCAAAAAGGUUAUGCAUAAUUUCUAUUUGUUGGAGGCUAGUCAUGCGGACGAUAUGGACAACCCGUUUUAUAUUGUUUUUAAUCGCCGAUAAUACAUGGUAGUUUUUUUAUAUGAUCAGUUCUCUAUGCAUGCUUGUGGAAUUAUUAUUUGGACCGCUUUAUCUUAAACAAAGUCAAUGUUUAACUAGAAGUUGCUUAUGUUUGUUAGUCAUCUAUCUCUAUAAUGAUGUGGUUGUUGCAUUAGAUGGAGAUUUUUAUUAUAUGAAUGAUGGUUUGAUAGAUCAUGUAUGUCUACUACUUUGAAUUCAUCCUAUGACAUCACUAGGUACAAAUUGUUCAAGUGCAAUAAUAGGAGGUAUUGUUGUAUGUGAGGUUAACCAAAGUAGUUGGGUUAGGUGGAUUAUCUUAUUGAAGUCCAAUUACUCCUGUUGAGCAUCAUAUCGUGUUAUUAUUUUAGUGUUGAAAGUAAUAUUUAUGAAGCUUUUGCAUGAGUCUGUGUCAAGAAGUACAUUAGUUUUUUCUUGUUGUUAUCCCUCCAUUGCUUUAUGAGUAUUGCAAAUUUUAUCUCUUUUGAGAGGGUGAAAAGAUGUUAUAUGACAUGAGCACCAUUUGCUUCACGUCAACAGAAUAGUUUUGGAGAUUUCUAGUAGUUGGAUUCUAGUGUAAUAACAACCAUGUUUUAUAGAGCUGGAGACGGGUAUGUCAGGUGUUUCAUACAUUGUCGGUACAUGGAUGUUUGACCUUAUUGGCAUUAACAAACGAGGUUGUUGAAUUCAUUGAUUGUUGUGCUUAGUGUUCUAACCUAUUUGGUAGAGUGUUAUUUAAAGACUUUGUGGAGUUGCAUCCCAGUUUGGUAGUGGAAAAUCCUAGUGUUGAUGGCACCUGCCAAUGACUUGGGUUUCAUUUUAUAUUGUUUCUUUUUUAUUUGUUGAUAAUGUGUUGUUUGGUUUCGGGAGGCAUUUUAAAUUAGUUGGAGGCUGAAUCAGGCUCACUUAUCUAGAAUGUUUUGUAGUAUGUUUCUGCAUCUUUCCAUAGGAUGCUUAAUCACCAUGUUUGGUCUAAACAUUUGAGAGAUAUGUGUUUCUUAAAACAUCUUUGUUGGUGUCGCUAGCAGAGUGAGUCUUUAAUUUUGUACGGAAGAGUAGACAUUGAAGACGGUAUAAUUUGGUCUUUGUGGAUUAUGAAAGUUUUAGUAAUUUCAUGAUCUUUUCAAAGAGUAUGGGUUUCUAAUUCUCAUUGCAUAUAAUUGGAGUUAGGUUGCUCUGAAGUUGUUGCACUGUUGUGUCUAAACUUUAGGCGUCGUUAUAAUCACCAAUAAAUCGACCGCGUUUUGAUAGUUGCAGGGCACAAAUUUGCGAAUUCUCUUUAAGCAAAACUUGUAGGUAUUUUCAAUACCUUUUUAAUGGGUAUUUACUUGUAACUGUCUGUUAAAUAGAUUUGGAGAGGUGGUUGCCCGGAUAUAAGUCGAAUCUCUAAUAUGCAGUAUCUCAGGCUGAGUUUAGUUGUAGGUCAUGCAGAGUUGUGGGCUAUAAGGAUAAAUUUGGGUGCAACUUUAUUGCAAAAGUCGUGAACAAUUUUCAAAACUUUUCCAACGCGUGUUCGUUGUAGUUUAAGUUGAGUAUAGCAGGAGUUAUAGGUUUUUUGAAUUUUAGUUGUCCAUUGUUUCAAUCUUAUCAGUUUUGAAACAAAAGAGUUGCAUUGUUUUAUCGGUUUGGAAACCAAUUCCGAGACACUAAUUAUAAUAAAAGUUCUAGGGAAUGUUGUAAUCUUUUCAGUGAGUUUAUAUUUGCAAAAUUUUGUUAGCUGCAGGGAGUUAUGAUAUCAUGUAUAGAAUGUGCUUGGAUGAAUAUGUGGGCAGACAUAACAUGCUUAAAUUGAUUCUUGUUUGCAUGAUGUGAGAUUAGGCUUAAAUGAUUUAAAAAGUUAUCAUAUUGCUUCUAUACUUAUAUUUGUUCUAGGUGUCUCGUAAUGAAGAACCUAAAGUUAUUAGUCUUUCAAUGAACGCUUAAUCUUAGAAGAGUAAUGAACCUGAUAAAAUCUAUUGCUUGCUAUUGGGACUGCAUGACCAGUUUUAGUUAUGCAGCUAGUUCAGUGAAGUAAACCAUCUUUUUUGUAGAGAUGUUAUAUAUAGAAGUUGUAGCCAACUUAUUUAUCUUACUUGUGUAAAAAUUUCAUGACCAUAGGUCUAGUAGUUUGGGAGUUAUGAUUUUCUCAAGUCCAGUCUUGAAAUCUAUGCAGGUUCUAUACAGAUUUCGAAGCUGACCUUGUUUGCCCAAUUUAAACUUCGAAUAACUUAUUAUAAAUUAUAAAUAAGUUGUAGUACUUUUCUUAAUCGUUACAACAAAUUUUGGAUAAAUUUUUUUUGGAGAUCUAUAAGUUAAGUUACAGCUGUUUUAAGUGUGAUCUCUGAAUCUGUCCAAAUUUGGACAGCAGAGCCUUUCUCGUGUCUUUUGACCUUAAUAUGCAUGGAAUUAACUUGAUAUGUUUAUAAAUGAAUUAUAGACAAUUCUUCUAGCUUUCUAAAAAGUCUGGGAGCACCUGAAUUGGAUGAUUGAGACUCCAAUUAUGGAUUUUUGAAUUGAGUAGUUGAAUUAUGUCCAAGUCUGGACAGAAUUUACGUUUAGCACUGUUUGACCUUUCUAAGUGUCAAAUCUUGUUGUGAUGAUAAUACCAAGGGUAUAGUGGACUUUAUAAGUUUUCCAUAAAGUCCUAGUUUACUAAUUUUCGAUGCAUAUUUUUGUGAGUUAGGAGCAAAACAAUUAACCGCUUUGCUGCUAUCUAGAAAUAUGCAAGCAUUAAGUUGCUCUCUUGAAGUUGCUCUUGUGUGGCUAAGUUUGGUUUAGCCUAUAGGAACAUUAUAUGCCUUGCAUUCAUAUAUACAUUCCUUGAAGUACUUGCAUAUGUCAAUGAUUGAUUUGGUGUCAGGAAAGCUUGGUCCGAGGUAUAUAGGACCGUCUGCUAUCUUGGCCGAGUUGGCAGCUGGGCUUAGCACAUGUAAUUGUCGGAAUCUGUGAUCAGAGUACACCAAGUAUUCCAUGUCUUUUUGUUGAGGAAGUAUUUGCGGAAUCCAGACCAUCAAAUCGAGCUAAAGCCGAUUCCUGUGUAGCAAGAGCAGACUCUAGAGUGUCGUCUGCUGCGUAUCUGAGAAUCCUAGGAGCUUGAGGAGCUGAUACGGCAGAAGUACUCGAACUUUUCUUUAUGUGUGAGUUUUGUUGAUUCAUUAACCUUUCUUUUGUUGUUCCGAUAGAAGCGUCAGAAUUCGAGGUCGAAUUCUUUUUAAGAGGGGUAGAGUGUGAUACCCGGUUUGCAAUGAAGAGAAGUUGGGGGUUGUUCUUUUUGUUUUUUUUCCUCAUCCGGUUGUUGUUUUGGGGAUUUGGGAUUUUGUGGAAAACAUUCACAACUAGGGCAGUAGAAUUUAUUUGGUUUGACGCUUGCGUUGCGGUCGGGAGCUGUCGCGUAGGUUAGUUGGGCCGUAAUUGGAGUUUCGGCCCAUUAACCCUCCCAAACCCUAGCCGCCUCCCUCCUAACCCCCUCCCCCCAUGUGCAGCCGCCCCCCCCCCCACUUCUCUUCCCCCUUGGCCGCCGCCCCCUUGCCCAUCUCCUCCUCUCUCAAUUCUUGCAGCCACCAAACCCUAGUCGCCCCCCUCUCAAUUCCCUCCUCCCAAGGUGCCAAUCCUUGCCGCUCGGAUCAUCGUCGUCGUGGUGCGAGUCUUCAAUCGUUUUGGUGGAGGGAAGAAGGGAGGAAGGAAAGGGGGAGAAUCCAAGGUGAUUUUUGUGUUCAUCCCUUGUUCAUUUGCGCUGCAAUUUAAUUGAUUAGAGGUUGCGUUUGCGAUUGGGGUAGAGGGGGGCUGUCCAGAAUUUUAGGUGGUGGGUGAACAGCAGUAGUCUAGCAGUUUCUGUGUUUUUUUCGUGAGGAAUUAAGGAAAAUCAGUUUGGGGAUCAUGUAGAACUUUACCUUACCUUUCCAAUGAGUAUUUAUGCGCUCAAUUUGGAGUUAUAAAUUGAAAGUUAUCACCGUUUGAAUCCGGGUAUGUGGCUGUCCAAAAAAACAGAUUUUUCAGGGGGAUGAACAGCAGCAGUAUUAGCAGUUUCUGGGGAUUUUUCGGGAGUAAUUAGUGUUAAUCAGUAUGAGAAUCAUGUAGGGCUUUAUGUUAUCUUUCCAACAAGUACUUAUGCGCUCGAUUCGGAGUUAUAAUUCAGGAGAUAUCGUUGUUUGAAUCCGGUUAUGUUGCUGUCCAAAAAAAACAGAUUUUUCAGGUGGGUGAACAGCAGUGGUAUUAGCAGUUUCUGGGAAUUUUUCGUGAGUAAUUAGUGUUAACCAGUAUGGUAAUCAUGUAGGGAUUUGUCUUAUCUUUCCAAUGAGUACUUAUGCGCUUGAUUUGGAAUUAUAUUUUAAAAGAUAUCGCUGUUUGAAUCUGGGUAUGUCGCUGUCCAAAAGACAAAGAAAAAAACAGAUUACAGAGUUCAUCUUGUGGACUGUUUUGGGCUAAUUAGAUAUUGGAAUUUAAUUAUAAAUUGUAUACAAAACUUGUGGGAAAUUUUAUGUAGAUGCCUCUGGAGUUUUUUUUUGUUACCACUGCUGUCAUAAUUUUAAAGUUAUGAAAUUAUUAAGCAGCGCCGCUGCAGUUUGGUGGGUGUAGUGAGAGAUGUAACCCGCGGCGGGGUUUGAGUUUGUGCGUAGGUGCGGCGUCGCUUAUGAGCCUGAUUAUGUGAAAUUGGUGUACUAAGUUGGGUGUCAAAAACAGGUGGUGGGCUUCCAGAUCGUACUUGGGAUUUGCCCGAACUUCCGAUAAAGGCAAGUAAAUACAGUGGUGGUUGCUACCGUUUGGUUUGCAUCCUAUUCCCUGUCAUUGAGUAUGCAUAAGUUUUAAUUAUGUUAAUCAUUGAAUUCUAUGAUGAAGUUUAUUUGUUGGGAAGUAUUAAUUCUCAAUUGUCUAAUAUUGUGGAUGAUCAUAAUUUGGUAAUGAUAUAUGUGGUUGAUUCCCAUCUGGAUGAAGUUGAAGUGUCUUUUUGAAUCAUGUUAUAUGAAGUGUUGUAGGCAUGACAUGCACAUCGCAUCAUCCAUCUUGCAUUUUGAAGUUAUGUCGUGAUCUUAUGGUCCGACCGUACCGGUACAUUUUUAGCAUCGUACGUUGCCCGAGGAGGGGUACGAUGCGACUUCAUAUCCUUAGAGGUAUGAAGGCAGAAGUCAUCCUUGCAUUUGCAGACAUUUGCACUCAUGAGGAAUAUAUGAAGUGUGACAUUACUAUGUUACUAUUGUGGUUUCUACCUGCGAGGUGUGGUAACUAGGUGCGUUGUACGUUGUAUACGUGCUGCACCUUCGUAAUAAGAAGGUUGUGGAAUUAAGUGGUGGUAAAACAAUGUUCUUAUGUGGUUAAACUGUUUGAUAUUAUUUUACUUGCUGAGAUGUGUCAUCUCACUCUUGCAUUACUCAAUGCAGGUACUCGAUACAUGUUGGGAAUGAGGGGAGUAGCAGCACGUCCACUUUCACUCUCACAAUAACGCUGCCCAAGCGCAGCCAUGAUUUAAUUAGAAACUUAUUGUCAAAGGAAGUUUGUUUAUUUUUUUUAUAUGGUCGUGCGCACUGGCUAAUUCAGUUCAGGUCGUAUGUUUAUCUUUCCUUGCUAGCCGAGUAAUAAUACUUAGUAUCUUUUAGUCAUGAUAUAUGUUUAUACUCUGUUGCUCCCUCUUUUAUGCAAUCUUGCAAAGGGGAUGCUGCCGAAAUUUUAUAUAUGGACGUCGGAAGUGUAGUACAGUAGCAUACCGGGUUGUUUGUGGAACCUGGAGUGUUACAUAAAGAUAUGACCUAAUGUUAUGACUCUUUUUGCUUUGGAUUUUUUGUGGGUUAUAGGACAAACAAAACAAAUAUAAACGUGAAUCUUGAUACCACAUGAUAGAAGGCAAGGUCUGAUCUUCCGUGAGGUAGGAUAACUUGAUUGGGUGGAGAUCUCGAAAUUGAUGACCCAAGGCUCCAAGUGAACGGAUCCUCGCAAACACUACACCACUCCUACAUUGGUUAUCACCCGUGACACACUAGUCCUCUGCACGAAGGCUUAUCCCUGCAAGCGCAAUCAAGAAUACAAGCAAGAACAUGAAGAAUGCAAUCAAAAUUGUAUUGAUGACGAGGUAGUGGCUAUUGAUAAAAUAGAGGUCAGGGG